AAUUUGACUCGAUCGAAUACUGACCCGAGUAACAUUAACGAAGGGAGCCCGUUACAACCGCCACCAAUAAGCCUAAACGGUGCCAUAAAUAUUGUCUUUGAAAAUUAAAACCAUAAACAGAAGCAGCAGAAAAAGAAAAAGCAAACUGGCCUAAAAACUUAACCCCGAAGGAAAAACCUAACCAAAACAAAAGAAAAUGAAACGGCCUCCCCAUUCUUCAAAACCCAAGUACCGCCAUACCGGAGUAAAACACGAGCUCCGAUCCCCAUCCACAGGCGAUGGCAUUUUCCUUCAUUGCGCUCAAUUUGCUCCUGCAUUCCUAUUCUUACCAGAUUCCAAAAAUUAUUGAUUCCUCCGACACUAGAAAUGUUGUCUCAAUCCCGCUAAUUCAUGAUCCGUUGGUCCCGAUCUGCUUCCGUUUCCACCGCCACCUGAGCUUCCUCAAUCCAGACCCUAUGCCCCUCAAAUCUCCAACCCUCUACCGCCAGCGUGUGCGCUGCUCAGUUCCCCUGUCGAGGUAUGAAAUUAUACUCCACUGAAUCAAAGUUUUGGGCCCUAACUCUAAUCUCCUUAAUCAACACACUAAUAGCCAAUCUAUCCUCUACAUGGACCCGUAACUUCUUCAUAAUUGUCAAAGAAUCACCCUCCACCACCACCUCCCGAAAUCCUAACUCGUUCAACAAAAUCACAGCACUGAGGCACGCCCUUGCCUCUGCGACCAUUGUGUCAGCCAAAUGCUCGAAUGGGAAAAUGGCACCAUCAAGUCACUCGGUACCUGGACCGUAACCGGGCAUUCACGAAAUAAGCGCUCGACCGUCUUAGCUCCAUGACAAACUCGACAGCAACUCUCCACUGCCACUCUUCUAGCUACUAGAUUACUUAAAAUAGGGAUAAAAUUGUUAGCAACUUUCUAGAUAGAGGUACUCAUGGGAUGGGCCAGUUCGUUACAGUUCGGGUUGGGCUCAACUAAAAUUUUAGGUUUGUAUGCUAAGCCUAAGCUUGACCCAGCCUAAAAAAUGGGCUUAAAAUUUUGUCGAAAUUUGACCUGAUAAAAAUGUUAAAAUCCA
Long non-coding RNA from Gossypium arboreum, 1067 nucleotides. RefSeq lists it as uncharacterized. The transcript has 2 exons. NCBI's taxonomy places the organism in Eukaryota, Viridiplantae, Streptophyta, Magnoliopsida, Malvales, Malvaceae. The record is from RefSeq and is a predicted model, not a curated record.